UCAUGGCUCAGAUUGAACGCUGGCGGCAGGCCUAACACAUGCAAGUCGAGCGGAUGAAAGGAGCUUGCUCCUGGAUUCAGCGGCGGACGGGUGAGUAAUGCCUAGGAAUCUGCCUGGUAGUGGGGGACAACGUUUCGAAAGGAACGCUAAUACCGCAUACGUCCUACGGGAGAAAGCAGGGGACCUUCGGGCCUUGCGCUAUCAGAUGAGCCUAGGUCGGAUUAGCUAGUUGGUGAGGUAAUGGCUCACCAAGGCGACGAUCCGUAACUGGUCUGAGAGGAUGAUCAGUCACACUGGAACUGAGACACGGUCCAGACUCCUACGGGAGGCAGCAGUGGGGAAUAUUGGACAAUGGGCGAAAGCCUGAUCCAGCCAUGCCGCGUGUGUGAAGAAGGUCUUCGGAUUGUAAAGCACUUUAAGUUGGGAGGAAGGGUUGUAGAUUAAUACUCUGCAAUUUUGACGUUACCGACAGAAUAAGCACCGGCUAACUCUGUGCCAGCAGCCGCGGUAAUACAGAGGGUGCAAGCGUUAAUCGGAAUUACUGGGCGUAAAGCGCGCGUAGGUGGUUUGUUAAGUUGGAUGUGAAAUCCCCGGGCUCAACCUGGGAACUGCAUCCAAAACUGGCAAGCUAGAGUAUGGUAGAGGGUGGUGGAAUUUCCUGUGUAGCGGUGAAAUGCGUAGAUAUAGGAAGGAACACCAGUGGCGAAGGCGACCACCUGGACUGAU
RNAcentral lists this ribosomal RNA (726 nucleotides) under Pseudomonas sp. SMCC G944. RNAcentral describes it as "bacterial SSU rRNA". It matches the Rfam family "Bacterial small subunit ribosomal RNA", at positions 17 to 738 of the family's 1533-position model. Lineage: Bacteria; Pseudomonadati; Pseudomonadota; Gammaproteobacteria; Pseudomonadales; Pseudomonadaceae. The record is from RNAcentral.